UUCGAGGUGGAAGCAUGGUGACAUGUGGAGCUGACGAAUACUAAUAGAUCGAGGACUUAACCAUAUA
This 67-nucleotide ribosomal RNA is filed under the name Bacillus cereus. RNAcentral's name for it is "partial 23S ribosomal RNA". Lineage: Bacteria; Bacillati; Bacillota; Bacilli; Caryophanales; Bacillaceae. The record is from RNAcentral.